This 450-nucleotide ribosomal RNA is filed under the name uncultured Methanolinea sp. RNAcentral describes it as "bacterial SSU rRNA". It matches the Rfam family "Archaeal small subunit ribosomal RNA", at positions 889 to 1338 of the family's 1478-position model. The record is from RNAcentral. Lineage: Archaea; Methanobacteriati; Methanobacteriota; Methanomicrobia; Methanomicrobiales; Methanoregulaceae.
UGGAGCCUGCGGUUUAAUUGGACUCAACGCCGGGCAGCUCACCGGAUAAGACAGCUGGAUGAUAGCCGGGCUGAAGACUCUGCUUGACUAGCUGAGAGGAGGUGCAUGGCCGUCGUCAGUUCGUACUGUGAAGCAUCCUGUUAAGCCAGGCAACGAGCGAGACCCACGCCAACAGUUGCCAGCAUGUCCUCCGGGAUGAUGGGGACACUGUUGGGACCGCCUCUGCUAAAGAGGAGGAAGGAAUGGGCAACGGUAGGUCAGCAUGCCCCGAAUUAUCCGGGCUACACGCGGGCUACAAUGGUCAGGACAAUGGGUAUCGACACCGAGAGGUGGAGGCAAUCUCCUAAACCUGUCCUUAGUUCGGAUUGUGGGCUGCAACUCGCCCACAUGAAGCUGGAAUCCGUAGUAAUCGCGUUUCAAAAUAGCGCGGUGAAUAUGUCCCUGCUCCUU